AGNAUNCGAUUAUNAUACNGNGUAGNGNAUGNGGGCAUCUAUAAUCNUUAUUUUAGAUGGUUCCAUUUGGAUUUGCGUGGUAGUUCUAAACCUAGNUGCUCAAGAUCCCGACUUCGGAAGGGAUGUAUUUAUUUUAAUUAUAACGCCCUUCGGGGCUCCCUGGNGAUUCACCUGGAAAGGGAAUAUUUAGGACGUGCACCAGCGAUGGGAGGUUUUCCUUUCCACCCUAUCAAUUUUUUGGGCCUCGNCAAUCUUUCCGGUGAUUCAUAAUAACUUGAUCGGANCGCGUACGGUGGCUUAUAUUUGUUAUUAUAUCUUCGGAUUUUAAUAGCAAAUAUAAGUCGGCGACGAUUCAUUCGAAUUUCUGCCCCAUCAACUCUCGAUGGUAGGAUAGAGGCCUACCAUGGUCGCAACGGGUAACGGGGNANGGAACCAUCAAGUAAACUAUCNGGUUUGGGGGGGCGGGGNUUNUGUGUGGNGNA
Molecule: ribosomal RNA, 482 nt
Filed under: uncultured fungus
Lineage: Eukaryota; Fungi
Description: partial 18S ribosomal RNA
Source: RNAcentral